Pseudonaja textilis is the source of this 400-nucleotide non-coding RNA. The record is from RefSeq and is a predicted model, not a curated record. NCBI's taxonomy places the organism in Eukaryota, Metazoa, Chordata, Lepidosauria, Squamata, Elapidae.
UCGAGUCUCCAACGCAAAUGCAUAUGGAGCUAGUCUCCGAAUUGCCCGUGGCCAUGUCACCCUGCCCUCGCUGCAUCCGCAUGGGCUGCGACAACCCUCCAGUGGUCAACAGUGACUGGGACAAUGAAUACUGUAGCAACGAAUGUGUGGUUAAACACUGCAGGGAUGUGUUCCUAGCUUGGCUGGCCUCCCGCAAUUCCAACAACGUCGUUUUUGUGAAAUAACACCCCAUAAUAAGAGUGCUGGGGAAAGAAACUACACAGUUUUGUGUUGCCAUGCACAUUUCUGUCCAAAAGGAUGACCAAACCCAGAAGAAGAAAAAUCUCACCAUUGCAACUCUGAGGGUGGGAAGCCGGUUCUGGACAUCUUCUCUGCUGAAGACCCAACAGCAAGAGAAAAA